GAUGAACGCUAGCGGCAGGCCUAACACAUGCAAGUCGAGGGGCAGCACAGAAACAGCAAUGUUUUGGUGGCGACCGGCGGACGGGUGCGUAACGCGUAUGCAACCUACCUUUAACAGGGGGAUAACGGAGAGAAAUUUCCACUAAUACCCCAUAACAUCGAACAAGGCAUCUUGAUUGGUUGAAAACUACGGUGGUUAAAGAUGGGCAUGCGUUGCAUUAGGUAGUUGGUGAGGUAAUGGCUCAACAAGCCUACGAUACAUAGGGGGACUGAGAGGUUAGCCCCCCACACUGGUACUGAGACACGGACCAGACCCCUACGGGAGGCAGCAGUGAGGAAUAUUGGUCAAUGGGGGCAACCCUGAACCAGCCAUGCCGCGUGCAGGAAGACGGCUCUAUGAGUUGUAAACUGCUUUUAAACAGGGAUAAAGCACAGUAUGUAUACUGUGUUGAAGGUACUGUAAGAAUAAGGAUCGGCUAACUCCGUGCCAGCCGCCGCAGUAA
Molecule: ribosomal RNA, 502 nt
Filed under: uncultured bacterium
Lineage: Bacteria
Description: partial 16S ribosomal RNA
Rfam family: Bacterial small subunit ribosomal RNA
Source: RNAcentral